CAAGGGAAAAAUAGAAAAAUGGGUUCCAUGGGAGUAGUGGGUGAAGAGGUUCAGCCAAGAAGUUACUGGAGAUGGAGCAAACAAGAUUUCCUACCAGAAGAAUCCUUUCAAAGUUGGAGCACAUAUCGGACCGCCCUGUCACAAACAGGCUACAGGUUCAAGAACCGUCUCAUAAGCAGAUCAGAUGAUAACAAUGAGAUUGGGGAACUUCCAAAGCGAAGUGAAAAUGACAUGAAGCGUUGCCUCACAUGGUGGGAUCUCAUCUGGUUUGGAUUUGGUUCAGUAAUUGGUGCAGGUAUCUUUGUGCUUACUGGGCAAGAAACUCAUGACCAUGCUGGACCAGCUAUUGUCUUGUCCUAUGUUGCUUCCGGUGUCUCGGCAAUGCUCUCUGUCUUCUGCUACACAGAAUUUUCAGUGGAAGUCCCUGUGGCAGGUGGAGCUUUUGCUUACCUGCGGAUAGAAUUAGGAGACUUUAUAGCAUUCAUAACAGCAGGAAACAUACUUCUUGAGGGCUUUGUCGGAAGUGCAGCAGUUGCUAGAUCAUGGACUUCUUACUUCACAUCACUCUUGAAUCGUCCCUCCAACUCAUUACGCAUCCAUACAAAUCUGACGGAGGGGUACAAUCUACUUGACCCAAUAGCUGUUGCUGUUCUGACAAUAGCUGCAACAAUUGCAAUGAUCAGCACAAGGAAGACCUCUUACUUAAACUGGAUAGCAUCUAUAGUCAAUAAUGUUGUAAUUCUGUUUGUGAUAAUUGCAGCAUUUAUCCAUGCCAACCCAUCAAAUAUGAAACCCUUUUUUCCGUUUGGGGCUAAAGGAGUCUUUCAAGCAGCUGCAAUUGUUUACUUUGCUUAUGGAGGAUUUGACAAUAUCGCCACCAUGGCUGAAGAAACCAAAAAUCCAUCCAGAGACAUACCGAUAGGAUUAAUUGGAUCAAUGUCAAUCAUCACUGUCAUAUAUUGUUUAAUGGCAGUUUCACUGCCUAUGAUGCAGAAAUACACAGAUAUAGACCCAAAUGCAGCCUACUCUGUAGCAUUUCAAAGUGUGGGCAUGACAUGGGCCAAAUACCUGGUAGCCCUAGGUGCCCUGAAGGGAAUGACCACUGUUCUUCUGGUCGGGACACUUGGACAGGCACGGUAUAUCACUCAUAUUGCACAAGCCCACAUGAUACCACCAUGGUUUGCUCUUGUCCAUCCAAAGACAGGAACCCCCAUAAAUGCUAGUCUUGAUUAUCAUUCCAAGUGGUUGUAUUGCUUUGUUUUCGAGCUUGGAUGUCUUGGCAGGUCUGUUAUCAGUGAGCACACUCUUUAUCUUCAUGAUGAUGGCUGUCGCACUUCUAGUGAGGAGGUACUACGUGAGAGAAAUCACCCCACAACAUCAUCUUUUGAAGCUAGUCAUUUCUUGCUGAUCAUCAUUGCUUCUUCCAUGACUUCGGCUUACUGGGGACUAAAUCCCAAUGGUUGGGUUGGUUAUGUCGUGACAGUUCCUCUCUGGUUCUUUGGGACUUUGGCAAUGGCAGUAUUUUUACCCCAACAGAGGUCACCAAAAGUUUGGGGGGUUCCACUGGUUCCUUGGUUGCCAUCCUUGUCAAUUGCAACAAACAUUUUUCUUAUGGGCUCUCUGGGUCAUAAAGCUUUUGAAAGAUUUGGAAUCUGCACCGUAGUAAUGCUUAUUUACUAUGUCUUCUUUGGUCUGCAUGCAACUUAUGAUAUGGCCCAUAAGCAAGACCAGCCAGAAUCCCUGAAAGUCGAUGACAGCAACAUCAGAGAGAAGGCAGAGCCUUGAAAUCACAGUCUUCUCAGCAAAUAAAGUGAGUACAAAAUGUAUUAUCUAAUUUACUUUUCAAGCACAUUUCACAACUCACCUAAACAAAUGUCACUAAAUUGCACAUGGAUCCUG
This is an RNA transcript of Prunus dulcis (almond), 1899 nucleotides long. It is a transcript of the gene named cationic amino acid transporter 5-like, with no coding region annotated. The record is from RefSeq and is a predicted model, not a curated record. Lineage: Eukaryota; Viridiplantae; Streptophyta; Magnoliopsida; Rosales; Rosaceae. The transcript has 2 exons.